This 242-nucleotide non-coding RNA is filed under the name Triticum aestivum (bread wheat). RNAcentral's name for it is "Bacterial small subunit ribosomal RNA". It matches the Rfam family "Bacterial small subunit ribosomal RNA", at positions 1012 to 1368 of the family's 1533-position model. The record is from Rfam by way of RNAcentral. Lineage: Eukaryota; Viridiplantae; Streptophyta; Magnoliopsida; Poales; Poaceae.
AGGGUUCAUUUGGCCUUUUUAUACACUAGUUGAGUUUCCUAGGCAUUUAAUGUCCAUAAUUCAAAUCUGAAGUACAAAUGGGCUGGGCCACACACGUGCUACAAUGGCAAUGACAAUGGGAAGCAAGGCUGUAAGGCGGAGCGAAUCCGGAAAGAUUGCCUCAGUUCGGAUUGUUCUCUGCAACUCGGGAACAUGAAGUUGAAAUCGCUAGUAAUCGCGAAUCAGCAUGCCGCGGUGAAUAU